This is a long non-coding RNA of Mobula hypostoma (lesser devil ray), 1452 nucleotides long. RefSeq lists it as uncharacterized. The record is from RefSeq and is a predicted model, not a curated record. The transcript has 4 exons. NCBI's taxonomy places the organism in Eukaryota, Metazoa, Chordata, Chondrichthyes, Myliobatiformes, Myliobatidae.
CACACUGCCAGGGAAGAUGGAUGCAGACACUGUUUAAGAUAAAGGAGCAGAUUUAGGCCAUUCAGCCCUUUGAGUCAGCUUGCCAUUCCAUCAUGGCUGAUAUAUUCAAUCCUACUCUCCUGCCUUCUCCAGAUAACUGACAACCAAUCAAGAACCUAUCAACCUCUGCUUUACCUACCCAGUGAGUUUGUCUCCACAGCCAUCUGUGGCAUUAAACUCCACAGAUCUGCCAACCUCAGGCUGAAGAAAUUCCUUGCCAUCUGUUGUAAAGGGAUGUACUUGUAUUAUGAGGCUAGUGUGAGGUUCUCCCAUUAUUGGAAACAUCCUCUUCACUCUUUCUAGGCCUUUCAAUAUUUGAUAGGUUUCGAUGAGGUCCCCACUCAUUCUUCUAAACAAAAGGCAUAACCAUACACUUCCCUACACUGUGUUACACCUGCCAUUUCUUUCCCAUUAUCCUAAUCUGUCCAAGUCCUUUUGCAGAUUCACUGCUUCCUCAACACUGUCUGUCCCCCCUCCUAUCUUUGAAUUGCCCGCAAACUUGGCCACAAAGAUAUAAAUUGUGCCAUCUGGCAGAAACGUGAACGGGCGGGUCGGGUGUUGUGGAGGGGGGAGUGGAAUCUGGAUCAUGUGCAGACAGGUGGGAUUUGUUAGAUUGCUGUCAUGGUUAGUGUACACAUGAUGGAAAAUGGAGGCUUUUUUCUGUACUGUACCAUUCUAUGUUCUAUGUUACCAGGGUCUUUAGAAGACAGUUACACCAUGUACAUGAAGAGAAAUUAUUUGCUAUUUGUGGUUUAAAGCUGAGCCAUGGGAUUUAAAUGAGAUCACUCUCUGAAAGGUCUGCCAUGACCAUGAUGGGCUGAAUUACUCCUAUGUUGAAAGGUUCCAUGAUUCAGCUGCUCGUCAGCAAGUCUCGUCUGAUGUCAAGACUCCAGUGAGACUGUGUUGCUUCGUUCACUGCUGGCCCUGUUCCCCAACUCCAAUGGAGGUGAUGUGAACAUCCAGAUGAGUGGCAAAAGUUUAACAAAGAAUAUCGUGGCUCUCAGCCAAGUGUUACUGCUGAGAAAUCAAACUGGGGGCACCUCUUGAUCUGGUCUCUGGUCACCUUGGGUGGAAGCUGCAGCAAAGAAUAGUAGAAGAGUGGCUUUGACUGGGCAGGAACUGAGAAGAAGAUCUCUGGACUAGUGUUCGUGAGAAAGCGCUCUGCUGCAGCAGCUACUGGGGCAGAGUUUGUAAUCAGUCAACAUCUGCAAAAGCUUUGUCACAGAAGCCGUUUAGACCCAAAUAGAGAAGCCUCAUAACUUUCCUUCAUGACAGAGCACUGCCUCGGAUGACCUUCUGUGGAAAUGUUGUGAAGGCGACUGAUGAGCGGAAUCUUCAACCAAAGGAACAAAACUGCUGAAAGCAUGUAUCCUUGAUUAGUGUUAUAAAUAAGCAGCUUUAUUAAUGCAAGCU